GACGAACGCUGGCGGCGUGCCUAAUACAUGCAAGUCGAGCGAAGUUUUUCUGGUGCUUGCACUAGAAAAACUUAGCGGCGAACGGGUGAGUAACACGUAAAGAACCUGCCUCAUAGACUGGGACAACUAUUGGAAACGAUAGCUAAUACCGGAUAACAGCAUUAACUGCAUGGUUGAUGUUUAAAAGUUGGUUUUGCUAACACUGUGAGAUGGCUUUGCGGUGCAUUAGCUAGUUGGUGGGGUAAGGGCCUACCAAGGCGACGAUGCAUAGCCGACCUGAGAGGGUGAUCGGCCACACUGGGACUGAGACACGGCCCAGACUCCUACGGGAGGCAGCAGUAGGGAAUCUUCCGCAAUGGGCGAAAGCCUGACGGAGCAACGCCGCGUGAGUGAAGAAGGAUUUCGGUUCGUAAAGCUCUGUUGUUAGGGAAGAAUGAUUGUGUAGUAACUAUACACAGUAGAGACGGUACCUAACCAGAAAGCCACGGCUAACUACGUGCCAGCAGCCGCGGUAAUACGUAGGUGGCAAGCGUUGUCCGGAAUUAUUGGGCGUAAAGCGCGCGCAGGUGGUUUAAUAAGUCUGAUGUGAAAGCCCACGGCUCAACCGUGGAGGGUCAUUGGAAACUGUUAAACUUGAGUGCAGGAGAGAAAAGUGGAAUUCCUAGUGUAGCGGUGAAAUGCGUAGAGAUUAGGAGGAACACCAGUGGCGAAGGCGGCUUUUUGGCCUGUAACUGACACUGAGGCGCGAAAGCGUGGGGAGCAAACAGG
RNAcentral lists this ribosomal RNA (768 nucleotides) under uncultured bacterium. Its description in RNAcentral is "bacterial SSU rRNA". It matches the Rfam family "Bacterial small subunit ribosomal RNA", at positions 28 to 776 of the family's 1533-position model. The record is from RNAcentral.